Long non-coding RNA from Aedes albopictus (Asian tiger mosquito), 825 nucleotides. RefSeq lists it as uncharacterized. The transcript has 2 exons. The record is from RefSeq and is a predicted model, not a curated record. Lineage: Eukaryota; Metazoa; Arthropoda; Insecta; Diptera; Culicidae.
GCCCGUCUAGCGAAUUGGGAGUCGUGAGUUCGAGUCUCACCGGAGUACGUGGAUUUCUUUUCAUAAUUUCAAAUCUCAAUUUGUUCAUCGAGCACAUGUUCUGUUGUGCACAUGGAUGUCAAAGCAUUUUCAACAGUGUAAUUUCCCACAUGGCUUGGUCAGCCAAAGCAAAAUCAAGAAAUUGACAUUUGUAAGGUGCUACGGUCACCCUUACCGUAUUCGGUCGGCCGAGGACCGACCCGUCGAGAGUCCGACUGCACACUAAUUGCCAUACCAAUAAGUGAUUGGGAGGCAGUGCCCGAAGCUCUCGACAAUUAAAAAUAACUUCCUCUCCCGCUUUGACAUACAUGUGCACAACAGACAAUGUGUUAGAUGUUCAUCUAAUCCCAUCCGAAGGGGGUUUGGAUUGUGAAAAGAAGAUAACCAUGUGCGAUUGUGGAAUCGAGUUCAGUUCUAGGCCUGCUGGCGACGGAGAUAGUCGAGUGACUCCGUAGCUUGAAGGAAUAGAAGCGCCCGUCUAGCGAAUUGGGAGUCGUGAGUUCGAGUCUCACCGGAGUACGUGGAUUUCUUUUCAUAAUUUCAAAUCUCAAUUUGUUCAUCGAGCACAUGUUCUGUUGUGCACAUGGAUGUCAAAGCAUUUUCAACAGGUGCUACGGUCACCCUUACCGUAUUCGGUCGGCCGAGGACCGACCCGUCGAGAGUCCGACUGCACACUAAUUGCCAUACCAAUAAGUGAUUGGAAGGCAGUGCCCGAAGCUCUCGACAAUUAAAAAUAACUUCCUCUCCCGCUUUGACAUACAUGUGCACAACAGACAAUGUGUUAGA